This 423-nucleotide ribosomal RNA is filed under the name uncultured bacterium. RNAcentral's name for it is "bacterial SSU rRNA". It matches the Rfam family "Bacterial small subunit ribosomal RNA", at positions 358 to 772 of the family's 1533-position model. The record is from RNAcentral.
GGAAUAUUGCACAAUGGGGGAAACCCUGAUGCAGCAAUGCCGCGUGUGUGAAGAAGGCCUGCGGGUUGUAAAGCACUUUUAUCAGGAAAGAACCUGCCUGGAGAUAAUACCCCCAGGCACUGACGGUACCCUGCGAAUAAGCCACGGCUAACUACGUGCCAGCAGCCGCGGUAAUACGUAGGUGGCGAGCGUUGUCCGGAUUUACUGGGCGUAAAGGGCGUGCAGGCGGUCUGUUAAGUCUAGGGUGAAAGCUCCCGGCUCAACUGGGAGAGGUCCUUGGAUACUGGCGGACUUGAGGGAGGCAGAGGAAAGUGGAAUUCCCGGUGUAGUGGUGAUAUGCGUAGAUAUCGGGAGGAACACCAGUGGCGAAGGCGGCUUUCUGGGCCUUACCUGACGCUGAGACGCGAAAGCGUGGGGAGCGAA